GAAGCUGGAUUCGCUAGUAAUCGCGCAUCAGCCACGGCGCGGUGAAUACGUUCCCGGGCCUUGUACACACCGCCCGUCAAGCCAUGGGAGUCGGGAGUGCCUGAAGUGCGUGAGCGCGAGCAGCGCCCUAGGGCAAAACCGAUGACUGGGGCUAAGUCGUAACAAGGUACC
Molecule: ribosomal RNA, 171 nt
Filed under: uncultured bacterium
Lineage: Bacteria
Description: partial 16S ribosomal RNA
Rfam family: Bacterial small subunit ribosomal RNA
Source: RNAcentral